This is a long non-coding RNA of Andrographis paniculata, 317 nucleotides long. RefSeq lists it as uncharacterized. The record is from RefSeq and is a predicted model, not a curated record. The transcript is spliced from 2 exons. NCBI's taxonomy places the organism in Eukaryota, Viridiplantae, Streptophyta, Magnoliopsida, Lamiales, Acanthaceae.
GUGGUGAUGCACGUGCGGCAAUGACGACGAUCGAACUUGUUCGAUACGGAGAUCGACGUGAGGAUUACGGCUGUCGAUCGAUCCCGGGCUGCUCAAAAUCGCGACGCUCGAUCCGCUCGCGCCGCGACCUACCUGCUUAAAAUUCCAGGGCGUCUCGGACCUUUUUGGGAUCGUGAACAAAAAUAAAUUAUAGGCCCAAUAAACACAUGAUUAAAAUAUAUUUUUAAAAUAAUACCACUUAUUGGCAUCAAUUGGAUAAGAAAUUUUAACGUGUGACGGUAUGUGCGUAAUAGAUUUGAGAAAAGUUUUUUAAGAAA